This is a small nucleolar RNA of Hucho hucho (huchen), 130 nucleotides long. The record is from Ensembl. Lineage: Eukaryota; Metazoa; Chordata; Actinopteri; Salmoniformes; Salmonidae.
ACAGUCUGAGAAUUAUCCUAGGAGUGUCAUUUGUCUGGGGGGAGAGAACUGUGUCUACAGUAUUGUGGUACGUUAAGCUUAUUGCCUGCUCUGUUUGUGACGGUGUAAUAAAACCCAAGUGCUCACAAUC